ACGGAAGGCAGCAGUGAGGAAUAUUGGUCAAUGGGCGGAAGCCUGAACCAGCCAAGUCGCGUGAGGGAAGACGGCCCUACGGGUUGUAAACCUCUUCUGCGCGGGGGUAAAGUCGGGGACGGGUCCCCGACUGCAAGUACCGCGCGAAAAAGGAUCGGCUAACUCCGUGCCAGCAGCCGCGGUAAUACGGAGGAUCCGAGUGUUAUCCGGAUUUAUUGGGUUUAAAGGGUGCGCAGGCGGGAUGUCAAGUCAGUGGUGAAAUGGUGCGGCUCAACCGUAGCAUUGCCGUUGAAACUGGCGUCCUUGAGUGCGAAUGAGGUACGCGGAACGUGUCAUGUAGCGGUGAAAUGCAUAGAUAUGACACAGAACACCGAUUGCGAAGGCAGCGUACUGGAACGCGACUGACGCUGAGGCACGAAAGUGCGGGGAUCGAACAGGAUUAGAUACCCUGGUA
RNAcentral lists this ribosomal RNA (454 nucleotides) under uncultured Porphyromonadaceae bacterium. RNAcentral's name for it is "bacterial SSU rRNA". It matches the Rfam family "Bacterial small subunit ribosomal RNA", at positions 341 to 792 of the family's 1533-position model. The record is from RNAcentral. Lineage: Bacteria; Pseudomonadati; Bacteroidota; Bacteroidia; Bacteroidales; Porphyromonadaceae.